UACGUAGGUGGCAAGCGUUGUCCGGAAUUAUUGGGCGUAAAGCGCGCGCAGGUGGUUUCUUAAGUCUGAUGUGAAAGCCCACGGCUCAACCGUGGAGGGUCAUUGGAAACUGGGGAACUUGAGUGCAGGAGAGAAGAGUGGAAUUCCACGUGUAGCGGUGAAAUGCGUAGAGAUGUGGAGGAACACCAGUGGCGAAGGCGACUCUUUGGCCUGUAUCUGACACUGAGGCGCGAAAGCGUGGGGAGCAAACAGG
RNAcentral lists this ribosomal RNA (253 nucleotides) under uncultured bacterium. RNAcentral's name for it is "partial 16S ribosomal RNA". It matches the Rfam family "Bacterial small subunit ribosomal RNA", at positions 524 to 776 of the family's 1533-position model. The record is from RNAcentral.